Molecule: ribosomal RNA, 414 nt
Filed under: uncultured microorganism
Description: bacterial SSU rRNA
Rfam family: Archaeal small subunit ribosomal RNA
Source: RNAcentral
CAGCCGCCGCGGUAAUACCGGCGGCCCGAGUGGCGGUCACUAUUAUUGGGCUUAAAGCGUCCGUAGCCGGGUUGGGAAGUCCUCCGGGAAAUCUGGCCGCUUAACGGUCAGAAUGCCGGAGGAUACUCCCAGCCUAGGGAGCGGGGGAGGCCGAGGGGAUUCCCGGGGGUGGGGGGAAAUCCUAUAAUCCCGGGAGGACCACCUGUGGCGAAGGCGCUCGGCUGGAACGCGUCCGACGGUGAGGGACGAAGGCCAGGGGAGCAAACCGGAUUAGAUACCCGGGUAGUCCUGGCUGUAAACGAUGCGGACUUUGUGUCGGACAAGCUAUGAGCUUGUCCGGUGCCGGAGGGAAACCGUUAAGUCCGCCGCCUGGGGAGUACGGCCGCAAGGCUGAAACUUAAAGGAAUUGGCGGG